GAACGCUGGCGGCGUGCUUAACACAUGCAAGUCGAACGAUGAAGACCGUGCUUGCACGGUUGGAUUAGUGGCGAACGGGUGAGUAUCACGUGAGUAACCUUCCCUUAACUCUGGGAUAAGCCCGGGAAACUGGGUCUAAUACCGGAUACGACCAGUCCUCGCAUGGGGUGCUGGUGGAAAGAUUUAUCGGUUUUGGAUGGACUCGCGGCCUAUCAGCUUGUUGGUGAGGUAAAGGCUCACCAAGGCGAUGACGGGUAGCCGGCCUGAGAGGGUGACCGGCCACACUGGGACUGAGACACGGCCCAGACUCCUACGGGAGGCAGCAGUGGGGAAUAUUGCACAAUGGGCGAAAGCCUGAUGCAGCGACGCCGCGUGCGGGAUGACGGCCUUCGGGUUGUAAACCGCUUUCAGCAGGGAAGAAGCGCAAGUGACGGUACCUGCAGAAGAAGCGCCGGCUAACUACGUGCCAGCAGCCGCGGUAAUACGUAGGGCGCGAGCGUUAUCCGGAAUUAUUGGGCGUAAAGAGCUCGUAGGCGGUUUGUCACGUUUGCCUGGAAAGNCCCGGGGCUCAACCCCGGGUGUGCAGUGGGUACGGGCAGACUAGAGUGCAGUAGGGAGANUGGAAUUCCCUGGUGUAGCGGUGAAAUGCGCAGAUAUCAGGAGGAACACCCGAUGGCGAAGGCAGGUCUCUGGGCUGUUACUGACGCUGAGGAGCGAAAGCAUGGGGAGCGAACAGGAUUAGAUACCCUGGUAGUCCAUGCCGUAAACGUUGGGCACUAGGUGUGGGGAACAUUCCACGUUUUCCGCGCCGUAGCUAACGCAUUAAGUGCCCCGCCUGGGGAGUACGGCCGCAAGGCUAAAACUCAAAGGAAUUGACGGGGGCCCGCACAAGCGGCGGAGCAUGCGGAUUAAUUCGAUGCAACGCGAAGAACCUUACCAAGGCUUGACAUGGACCGGACCGCUGCAGAGAUGCAGUUUCCCUUCGGGGUCGGUUCACAGGUGGUGCAUGGUUGUCGUCAGCUCGUGUCGUGAGAUGUUGGGUUAAGUCCCGCAACGAGCGCAACCCCUAUCUUAUGUUGCCAGCACGUCAUGGUGGGGACUCAUGGGAGACUGCCGGGGUCAACUCGGAGGAAGGUGGGGACGACGUCAAAUCAUCAUGCCCCUUAUGUCUUGGGCUUCACGCAUGCUACAAUGGCCGGUACAAUGGGUUGCGAUACUGUGAGGUGGAGCUAAUCCCUAAAAGCCGGUCUCAGUUCGGAUCGAAGUCUGCAACUCGACUUCGUGAAGUUGGAGUCGCUAGUAAUCGCAGAUCAGCAACGCUGCGGUGAAUACGUUCCCGGGCCUUGUACACACCGCCCGUCAAGUCACGAAAGUGGGUAACACCCGAAGCCGGUGGCCUAACCCUUGUGGGGGGAGCCGUCGAAGGUGGGACUCGCGAUUGGGACUAAGUCGUAACAAGGUAGCCGUACCGGAA
This 1474-nucleotide ribosomal RNA is filed under the name uncultured Nesterenkonia sp. Its description in RNAcentral is "bacterial SSU rRNA". It matches the Rfam family "Bacterial small subunit ribosomal RNA". The record is from RNAcentral. Lineage: Bacteria; Bacillati; Actinomycetota; Actinomycetes; Micrococcales; Micrococcaceae.